Molecule: ribosomal RNA, 249 nt
Filed under: uncultured bacterium
Lineage: Bacteria
Description: partial 16S ribosomal RNA
Rfam family: Bacterial small subunit ribosomal RNA
Source: RNAcentral
GAUGAACGCUAGCGGCAGGCCUAAUACAUGCAAGUCGAGGGGCAGCGGGAGUAGCAAUACUUGCCGGCGACCGGCGCACGGGUGCGUAACACGUAUACAAUCUACCUUUAACAGGGGGAGUAGCCCGGACGAAAUACCGGAUUAAUACCCCACUAACAAAUUAGAAUGGCAUCAUUUGUAUUUGUAAAGACUUCGGUGGUUAGAGAUGAGUAUGCGCCUGAUUAGUUAGUUGGGAGGUAACGGCUCACC